UUCACGCUCUGGGCCGGCGAAGCCUCGCGCCACCAGGGCGUGCUGGAAAGCCAGGCGUUCUACGCGAUGGGCGUGAAGCC
This 80-nucleotide transfer RNA is filed under the name Variovorax paradoxus. RNAcentral's name for it is "tRNA-Trp". The record is from RNAcentral. Lineage: Bacteria; Pseudomonadati; Pseudomonadota; Betaproteobacteria; Burkholderiales; Comamonadaceae.